GACGUAGGGCGCGAGCGUUGUCCGGAUUUAUUGGGCGUAAAGAGCUCGUAGGCGGCUUGUCGCGUCGGCUGUGAAAACCCGCGGCUCAACUGUGGGCGGGCAGCUGAUACGGGCAGGCUAGAGUUCGGUAGGGGAGACUGGAAUUCCUGGUGUAGCGGUGAAAUGCGCAGAUAUCAGGAGGAACACCGGUGGCGAAGGCGGGUCUCUGGGCCGAUACUGACGCUGAGGAGCGAAAGCGUGGGGAGCGAACAGG
RNAcentral lists this ribosomal RNA (253 nucleotides) under uncultured bacterium. RNAcentral describes it as "partial 16S ribosomal RNA". It matches the Rfam family "Bacterial small subunit ribosomal RNA", at positions 524 to 776 of the family's 1533-position model. The record is from RNAcentral.